This 327-nucleotide ribosomal RNA is filed under the name Desulfitobacterium sp. enrichment culture clone DSB. RNAcentral's name for it is "bacterial SSU rRNA". It matches the Rfam family "Bacterial small subunit ribosomal RNA", at positions 570 to 895 of the family's 1533-position model. The record is from RNAcentral. Lineage: Bacteria; Bacillati; Bacillota; Clostridia; Eubacteriales; Desulfitobacteriaceae.
CGUAGGCGGAUAGUUAAGUCCGAUGUGAAAUACCAAGGCUCAACCUUGGGGCUGCAUCGGAAACUGGUUAUCUUGAGGACAGGAGAGGAAAGUGGAAUUCCUAGUGUAGCGGUGAAAUGCGUAGAUAUUAGGAGGAACACCAGUGGCGAAGGCGACUUUCUGGACUGUAACUGACGCUGAGGCGCGAAAGCGUGGGGAGCAAACAGGAUUAGAUACCCUGGUAGUCCACGCCGUAAACGAUGAGUGCUAGGUGUAGAGGGUAUCGACCCCUUCUGUGCCGCAGUUAACACAAUAAGCACUCCGCCUGGGGAGUACGGCCGCAAGGUU